RNAcentral lists this ribosomal RNA (405 nucleotides) under uncultured bacterium. RNAcentral describes it as "bacterial SSU rRNA". It matches the Rfam family "Bacterial small subunit ribosomal RNA", at positions 29 to 417 of the family's 1533-position model. The record is from RNAcentral.
AACGAACGCUGGCGGCGUGCCUAACACAUGCAAGUCGUGCGAGAAAGUUCCUUCGGGAGCGAGUAAAGCGGCGCACGGGUGAGUAACACGUAGGUAACCUGCCCCCCAGUCUGGAACAACUAGAGGAAACUCUAGCUAAUGCCGGAUGAGACCACGAUCCCUUCGGGGGUUGCGGCCAAAGAUGGCCUCUACUUGUAAGCUAUCGCUGAGGGAUGGGCCUGCGGGCCAUUAGCUUGUUGGUGAGGUAACGGCUCACCAAGGCUGUGAUGGCUAGCUGGUCUGAGAGGAUGACCAGCCACACUGGGACUGAGACACGGCCCAGACUCCUACGGGAGGCAGCAGUGGGGAAUAUUGCGCAAUGGGCGAAAGCCUGACGCAGCGACGCCGCGCGGGUGAUGAAGGCCU